RNAcentral lists this ribosomal RNA (533 nucleotides) under uncultured eukaryote. RNAcentral's name for it is "bacterial SSU rRNA". It matches the Rfam family "Eukaryotic small subunit ribosomal RNA", at positions 1111 to 1655 of the family's 1831-position model. The record is from RNAcentral.
GUUCCGGGGGGAGUAUGGUCGCAAGGCCGAAACUUAAAGGAAUUGACGGAAGGGCACCACCAGGAGUGGAAUCUGCGGCUUAAUUUGACUCAACGCGGGAAAACUCACCAGGUCAGGACACGGUAAGGAUUGACGGACUGAAGGCUCUUUCUCGAUUCCGUGGAAAGUGGUGCAUGGCCGUUUUUGGUUGGUGGAUCGAUCCGUCUGGUUAAUUCCGUUAACGAACGAGACCUCGGCACUCCGAAUAGCGCGGCGGACGUCGCGGCCUCCGGGCCGUCUUCCGCACGAGCUUCUUAGAGGGACCGUCCCCCGCCGGGGAAGGAGGUGCGAGGCAACGACAGGUCUGUGAUGCCCUUAGAUGUUCUGGGCCGCACGCGCAUUACACUGACGCGUCCAACGGGUGACUCCCGACCCGAAGGGGCCGGGGAAUCCGCAAGGCGCGUCGUGAUGGGGAUUGAACGUUGCAAUUGUUGUUCACGAACGAGGAAUUCCUAGUAGGCGCGGGUCAUCAACCCGCGCCGAUUACGUCCCUG